AGUGAACGCUGGCGGUAUGCCUAACACAUGCAAGUCGAACGGCAGCACAGUAAGCUCUUGCUCUUACGGGUGGCGAGUGGCGGACGGGUGAGGAAUACAUCGGAAUCUUCUUUUUCGUGGGGGAUAACGUAGGGAAACUUACGCUACUACCGCAUACGACCUACGGGUGAAAGCAGUGGAUCUUCGGACCUUUCGCGAUUGAAUGAGCCGAUGUCGGAUUAGCUAGUUGGCGGGGUAAAGGCCCACCAAGGCGACGAUCCGUAGCUGGUCUGAGAGGAUGAUCAGCCACACUGGAACUGAGACACGGUCCAGACUCCUACGGGAGGCAGCAGUAGGGAAUAUUCGACAAUGGGCGAAAGCCUGACGAAGCAACGCCGCGUGGGUGAAGAAGGUCUUCGGGUUGUAAAGCUCUGUUGUUGGGAAAGAAAAGCAGCAGGAUUAUACACCCCUGUUCUGACGGUACCGAAAGAAAAAGCCCCGGCUAACUACGUG
This 492-nucleotide ribosomal RNA is filed under the name uncultured bacterium. RNAcentral's name for it is "partial 16S ribosomal RNA". It matches the Rfam family "Bacterial small subunit ribosomal RNA", at positions 29 to 507 of the family's 1533-position model. The record is from RNAcentral.